UGGCUCACCAAGGCAAUGACACCUAACUGGUUUGAGAGGAUGAUCAGUCACACUGGAACUGAGACACGGUCCAGACUCCUACGGGAGGCAGCAGUGGGGAAUAUUGCACAAUGGACGAAAGUCUGAUGCAGCAACGCCGCGUGGAGGAUGACACAUCGGUGCGUAAACUCCUUUUAUAUAGGAAGAUAAUGACGGUACUAUAUGAAUAAGCACCGGCUAACUCCGUGCCAGCAGCCGCGGUAAUACGGAGGGUGCAAGCGUUACUCGGAAUUACUGGGCGUAAAGAGCGUGUAGGCGGGUAAAUAAGUUGGAAGUGAAAUCCUAUGGCUCAACCAUAGAACUGCUUCCAAAACUGUUAACCUAGAAUGUGGGAGAGGUAGAUGGAAUUUCUGGUGUAGGGGUAAAAUCCGUAGAUAUCAGAAGGAAUACCGAUUGCGAAGGCGAUCUACUGGAACACUAUUGACGCUGAGACGCGAAAGCGUGGGGAGCAAACAGGAUUAGAUACCCUGGUAGUCCACGCCCUAAACGAUGUACACUAGUUGUUGUGAGGCUAGACCUCGCAGUAAUGCAGUUAACACAUUAAGUGUACCGCCUGGGGAGUACGGUCGCAAGAUUAAAACUCAAAGGAAUAGACGGGGACCCGCACAAGCGGUGGAGCAUGUGGUUUAAUUCGACUAUACGCGAAGAACCUUACCUGGUCUUGACAUAGAAAGAACUUUCCAGAGAUGGAUUGGUGCCUGCUUGCAGGAGCUUUCAUACAGGUGCUGCACGGCUGUCGUCAGCUCGUGUCGUGAGAUGUUGGGUUAAGUCCCGCAACGAGCGCAACCCUCGUCGUUAGUUGCUAACAGUUCGGCUGAGAACUCUAACGAGACUGCCUACGCAAGUAGGAGGAAGGUGAGGACGACGUCAAGUCAUCAUGGCCCUUACGACCAGGGCUACACACGUGCUACAAUGGGGUAUACAAAGAGCAGCGAUACGGUGACGUGGAGCGAAUCUCAAAAAUGCCUCCCAGUUCGGAUAGUAGUCUGCAACUCGACUACUUGAAGUUGGAAUCGCUAGUAAUCGUAGAUCAGCUAUGCUACGGUGAAUACGUUCCCGGGUCUUGUACUCACCGCCCGUCACACCAUGGGAGUUGAAUUCAUUCGAAGCGGGGAUGCUAAAAUAGCUACCUUCCACAGUGGAUUUAGCGGCUGGGGUGAAGUCGAACAAGGUAACCGUAGGAACCUGCGGUUG
RNAcentral lists this ribosomal RNA (1233 nucleotides) under metagenome. RNAcentral describes it as "bacterial SSU rRNA". It matches the Rfam family "Bacterial small subunit ribosomal RNA", at positions 261 to 1520 of the family's 1533-position model. The record is from RNAcentral.